GGGAGUAUAGCUCAGUAGGGCAGCACCUGCCUGGCAAGUGCAAGGUCCUGAGUUCGAUUCCUAGUACCCCCC
This 72-nucleotide transfer RNA is filed under the name Cavia porcellus (domestic guinea pig). It matches the Rfam family "tRNA". Rfam says of the family: Transfer RNA (tRNA) molecules are approximately 80 nucleotides in length. Their secondary structure includes four short double-helical elements and three loops (D, anti-codon, and T loops). Lineage: Eukaryota; Metazoa; Chordata; Mammalia; Rodentia; Caviidae. The record is from Rfam by way of RNAcentral.